AUUGAACGCUGGUCUGUAUGCCUAACACAUGCAAGUCGAACGGUAACAGAGGAGAGCUUGCUUUCUUGCUGACGAGUGGCGGACGGGUGAGUAACGCGUGGGAAUCUACCCAGUAGUUGGGGAUAGCCCGGAGAAAUCCGGAUUAAAACCGAAUAAUAUCUACGGAUGAAAGGGUGCCUCUUCUUGAAAGCACUUGCUAUUGGAUGAGCCCGCGUUAGAUUAGUUUGUUGGUGGGGUAACGGCCUACCAAGACUGCGAUCUAUAGCUGGUUUGAGAGGAUGAUCAGCCACAUUGGGACUGAGACACGGCCCAGACUCCUACGGGAGGCAGCAGUGGGGAAUAUUGGACAAUGGGCGCAAGCCUGAUCCAGCAAUACCGCGUGUGUGAAGAAGGCCUUCGGGUUGUAAAGCACUUUUAUGUAGGAAGAAGGUGUGUGUGUUAAUAGCACAUGCAUUUGACGGUACUACAAGAAUAAGCACCGGCUAACUCCGUGCCAGCAGCCGCGGUAAUACGGAGGGUGCGAGCGUUAAUCGGAAUUACUGGGCGUAAAGGGUACGUAGGCGGCUUGAUAAGUCAGAUGUGAAAUCCCCGGGCUUAACCUGGGAACUGCAUUUGAAACUGUUAAGCUAGAGUGAGUGAGAGGUUAGUGGAAUUCAAGGCGUAGCGGUGAAAUGCGUAGAGGUCUUGAGGAACAUCAGUGGCGAAGGCGACUGACUGGGCACUACACUGACGCUGAGGUACGAAAGCGU
Molecule: ribosomal RNA, 749 nt
Filed under: uncultured bacterium
Lineage: Bacteria
Description: bacterial SSU rRNA
Rfam family: Bacterial small subunit ribosomal RNA
Source: RNAcentral